GGAGGGGGCAAGUCGGAUGGGUGCGCGCACGCUAAGCUAUCUGAACGGCGGCGCGCACGUAUGAGAAAGGCAAAUACAGUAGGUUUCACCCCUCAAAUUGGAUUGAUGUUCUCUGGGCAUGGAGCACGUGUUGUCAAAAGAACAGGAAAGCUUCAUACAUGCUAUGUAUUUUAUUGUAAACAUCACUGCAUUACUGACGAUUGAUCACAAUCUGGAGCUGUGCAUGCAGACCUUAACACUUGGUGCACAAAACACCAUGAUGCAGGCAGCCACCUGACCAGCUGCAGUGUGAGGAGAGAAGCUUAAGCCCACCAGGAGGAUUCACUCCAAAGAAGUCCCGGUAUGCCUCCGGUUCCGGCAAGUCAAACUUACUCACAUUGGUCUUGGCCAGAAUAGA
This is a long non-coding RNA of Myxocyprinus asiaticus (Chinese sucker), 397 nucleotides long. RefSeq lists it as uncharacterized. The transcript has 3 exons. NCBI's taxonomy places the organism in Eukaryota, Metazoa, Chordata, Actinopteri, Cypriniformes, Catostomidae. The record is from RefSeq and is a predicted model, not a curated record.